UACGUAGGGUCCGAGCGUUGUCCGGAAUUACUGGGCGUAAAGAGCUCGUAGGUGGUUUGUCGCGUUGUUCGUGAAAACUCACAGCUUAACUGGGGGCGUGCGGGCGAUACGGGCAGACUGGAGUACUGCAGGGGAGACUGGAAUUCCUGGUGUAGCGGUGGAAUGCGCAGAUAUCAGGAGGAACACCGGUGGCGAAGGCGGGUCUCUGGGCAGUAACUGACGCUGAGGAGCGAAAGCGUGGGGAGCGAACAGG
This 253-nucleotide ribosomal RNA is filed under the name uncultured bacterium. Its description in RNAcentral is "partial 16S ribosomal RNA". It matches the Rfam family "Bacterial small subunit ribosomal RNA", at positions 524 to 776 of the family's 1533-position model. The record is from RNAcentral.